This 331-nucleotide unclassified non-coding RNA is filed under the name soil metagenome. RNAcentral describes it as "partial contains 5.8S ribosomal RNA, internal transcribed spacer 2, and large subunit ribosomal RNA". The stretch from base 1 to 120 matches the Rfam family "5.8S ribosomal RNA", at positions 35 to 154 of the family's 154-position model. The record is from RNAcentral.
GAUGAAGAACGUAGCGAAAUGCGAUAAGUAAUGUGAAUUGCAGAAUUCAGUGAAUCAUCGAAUCUUUGAACGCACAUUGCGCCCCCUGGUAUUCCGGGGGGCAUGCCUGUUCGAGCGUCAUUUCACCACUCAAGCCUCGCUUGGUAUUGGGCAACGCGGUCCGCCGCGUGCCUCAAAUCGACCGGCUGGGUCUUCUGUCCCCUAAGCGUUGUGGAAACUAUUCGCUAAAGGGUGUUCGGGAGGCUACGCCGUAAAACAACCACAUUUCUAAGGUUGACCUCGGAUCAGGUAGGGAUACCCGCUGAACUUAAGCAUAUCAAUAAGCGGAGGA